CCUUGUGGAGGAGGACGCCGAAGGUGGGGCUAAUGACUGGGGUGAAGUCGUAACAAGGUAGCCGUACCGGAAGGUGCGGCUGGAUCACCUCCUAACAGGGAGACAACAAAAUGUUUAAUAUUAUUAUUUUGUCACCUUAGGUCGAUCGGUAUCUCACGUUUUUAAUUUAUUAAGAAUUUCAUUUCCUAAGUUUUUCUAGGUCACACCCAUUAUUUUUCCUGGGCCAUUAGCUCAGGUGGUUAGAGCGCACCCCUGAUAAGGGUGAGGUCCCUGGUUCAAGUCCAGGAUGGCCCAUAUCUCUAUGUUGGGGGUAUAGCUCAGUUGGUAGAGCGCCUGCUUUGCAAGCAGGAUGUCAGCGGUUCGAGUCCGCUUACCUCCACUGAUCACCACCUCUUCCAUAAUCGGUAGAAAGGAAAUUUUUUGAGUUGUGAUCAAAUUCUGAAAGAAUCUAGCUUCCUAAUGAAAUCAUUAAGAUGCUGGACUCAUUGAAUUAAUUUUCAUUGUUUUCAGAGAACCUUGACAACUGCAUAGAUUAUUUUUAAAGACAAUAAGCAUCUUUAAUGAUGCAGAUUUAUUAUUUGUGCAAAUGCAUUAAUAACAAUUCUAUUAAGCUGAUGCUUCAAAAUUUGAAGUUAUUGGUCAAGCUACAAAGGGCUCACGGAGGAUACCUAGGCACACAGAGGCGA
Molecule: unclassified non-coding RNA, 686 nt
Filed under: uncultured Prochlorococcus sp.
Lineage: Bacteria; Bacillati; Cyanobacteriota; Cyanophyceae; Synechococcales; Prochlorococcaceae
Description: partial may contain 16S ribosomal RNA, 16S-23S ribosomal RNA intergenic spacer, and 23S ribosomal RNA
Rfam family: Bacterial small subunit ribosomal RNA (bases 1-95)
Source: RNAcentral